This 484-nucleotide ribosomal RNA is filed under the name uncultured bacterium. RNAcentral's name for it is "partial 16S ribosomal RNA". It matches the Rfam family "Bacterial small subunit ribosomal RNA", at positions 30 to 507 of the family's 1533-position model. The record is from RNAcentral.
AUUGAACGCUGGCGGCAGGCCUAACACAUGCAAGUCGAGCGGAUGAACGGAGCUUGCUCCUGGAUACAGCGGCCGAGGGGUGGGUAAUGCCGAGAAACCUCCCUGGUUGUUGGUUAUAACGUCCGAACACGGGCGCUAUUACCCCAUACGUCCUGAGGGAGAAAGUGGGGGAUCUUCGGACCUCACGCUAUCGCAUGAUCCUAGGUCGGAUUAGCUAAUUGGUGGGGUAAAGGCCUACCAAGGCGACGAUCCGUAACUGGUCUGAGAGGAUGAUCAGUCACACUGGAACUGAGACACGGUCCAGACUCCUACGGGAGGCAGCAGUGGGGAAUAUUGGACAAUGGGCGAAAGCCUGAUCCAGCCAUGCCGCGUGUGUGAAGAAGGCCUUCGGAUUGUAAAGCACUUUUAGUUGGGAGGAAGGGCAGUAAGUUAAUACCUCGCUGUUUUGACGUUACCAAAAGAAUAAGCACCGGCUAACUUCGUG